Long non-coding RNA from Orcinus orca (killer whale), 1839 nucleotides. RefSeq lists it as uncharacterized. The transcript is spliced from 3 exons. The record is from RefSeq and is a predicted model, not a curated record. NCBI's taxonomy places the organism in Eukaryota, Metazoa, Chordata, Mammalia, Artiodactyla, Delphinidae.
GCAAUGGUGCAAAAUUCGUUGGGGAGAAAAACAGGAAGUGGAGCUGGAGAGCAAGGCUGCAGAAGCACUACCCAGCGGAGACCGUGGCAGCCCCCUUCCACCCGCAGUCUUACAGGAAAGUGGUGAGCGGGCAGCCCCCGCCUGAGCAUGGGAGUGCGGUGGGGAGAAUCCAGAAAGAACCCUUUGCCCAGGAGGGGCUUUUUUUUAGACCAAACAUCACACCUGCAUCCCGCAUUUUACAUCUUUUCUCACCUUUUUUUUUUUUUUUUUUUGGCCGUACGCGGGCCUCUCACUGCUGUGGCCCCUCCCGUUGCGGAGCACAGGCUCCAGACGCGCAGGCUCAGCGGCCAUGGCUCACGGGCCCAGCCGCUCCGCGGCAUGUGGGAUCUUCCCGGACCGGGGCACGAACCCGCGUCCCCUGCAUCGGCAGGCGGACUCCCAACCGCUGCGCCACCAGGGAAGCCCCUUCUCUCACCUUCUGAUAACAACUCCUCAAGGAUGGUAACUUUACCCCAUUUUGCAGGGGCCUCGGCCUCCGGUCCCCAGCCACUCCCAUGUGAGAGGAUGCUGUGAGAAUGGGCUGGUACAGGAGAGUGCUUAGAACAGCGCCUGGCCCUCAGGGAGAGCGCAGUAGACGUUUCUUACCAUCAUCCUCUAUUUACUCCUCACAACAAGCCCCUGAAGUCUCAGCAUUAUGCUCCUGUUUAACAGGUGUCACCGUCGAGGGCCAGGGGGCUACAGGUUUCAUUCACUCAUUCGACACGUUGUCAGAUGCCACCAAACACGGUCCUACGUCCUGAGGAUACAGGGUGAUCAACGAAUGUCCCCACCCUUGAGGACAUUCAAAGGGUGGGCGGUUUGGGGGGAGGGGAGGGGCAGAUGCUACAGGAAAAAACAAUACCUUGCAAGGCAGUAUGCGCUAUGCAGAAGAAAGCAGGGUAUGGGGCCGCCAUCGCCAGACCCCCAGGUGCCCUCCUCACCCUGCUUGGGCUCCAAACCACACAUCAGGAGGCUGCUGCCCUGCCCGGCCUCCCUCGCUCACCGUGGAGCUCCCCAGCCUCUGGGAUUGGGGAGGGGAGGAGUGUGAAGCUGGGGGCACAGCAGGCUGGCUCCCACCUCCCCCUGGCCCAGGCCUCUUGGCUGAAGCUGGUUUGAGCCAGUUUCUUUCACUUUAUCACCUUGAACAUUUCACUGGAACCUUCUAAAUGCAGCUUAUUUUUUUAAAUAGAUUUAUUUAUUUACUUUGGCUGCGUUGGGUCUUCGUUUUUGCGUGCGGGCUUUCUCUAGUUGCGGCGAGCGGGGGCUUCUCUUGUUGCGGAGCAUGGGCUUGUCAUUGCAGUGGCUUCUCUUGUUGCGGAGCACGGGCUCUAGGCGCACGGGCUUCAGUAGUUGGGUCACGCGGGCUCGGUAGUUGUGGCUCGGGGACUCUAGAGCGCAGGCUCAGUAGUUGUGGCACACGGGCUUAGUUGCUCUGCGGCAUGUGGGAUCUUCCCGGACCUGGGCUCGAACCCGUGUCCCCUGCAUUGGCAGGCGGAUUCUUAACCACUGCGCCACCAGGGAAGUCCAUAACUGCAGCUUCUUUCCUCUAACCCGUGUUCCCUCCUGUCCCAGCCAGAUCCUAUUUCCAGAAGACUUCAUUGCUCUACAGGCUAACUAGGCAAAGACAAAGGUCUGGAAAGUUCCAGGGUCCUGAGCGGGAGUGAUCAUAACCAGUGCUUACCAAGUACCAGGCACUGCUCUAAGCAAUCCUCACCCAGUUAACUCACUCAGGUCUCACAAUGGUCCUUCACGCAGCCUCUACUGGGAUUUUCACAGCACAGGGGAAAGGUGGGGGGGGGG